AAGAUGAGAUUUGAGUGGGGACACAGCCAAACCAUAUCACUCUCUCUCUCACCUGCAUUGCCAUUUGCCUCAUUGCUUCCUGAGCUGAUCUCCUGUAGUUGGAACACACACCUGCACGUGCACCUGAGCAAGUGUAUGCAGGCACACACACCAGUGUGGAGUGUCAGCUUCCUUCUCUCUGCCCUGUUCCUGGUCGAUUCCUUACUACAUUUCCGACUUUGCAGGAAAGGGGUUCCCUUGCAUUCCUUUCCAGAACUAGGCCUAUUGGCCACUUUCUCCAAAUUGCACUCUCCCCUCUGCAGCCCCCCACACCUCCGCAGAGCCACAGUGUUUGCCAACGGGUCUCUGCUGCUGACCCAGGUCCGGCCACGCAAUGCAGGGAUCUACCGCUGCAUUGGCCAGGGGCAGAGGGGCCCACCCAUCAUCCUGGAAGCCACACUUCACCUAGCAGAGAUUGAAGACAUGCCGCUAUUUGAGCCACGGGUGUUUACAGCUGGCAGCGAGGAGCGUGUGACCUGCCUUCCCCCCAAGGGUCUGCCAGAGCCCAGCGUGUGGUGGGAGCACGCGGGAGUCCGGCUGCCC
RNAcentral lists this small RNA (582 nucleotides) under Pan troglodytes (chimpanzee). RNAcentral's name for it is "retained intron". Lineage: Eukaryota; Metazoa; Chordata; Mammalia; Primates; Hominidae. The record is from RNAcentral.